RNAcentral lists this ribosomal RNA (253 nucleotides) under uncultured bacterium. RNAcentral describes it as "partial 16S ribosomal RNA". It matches the Rfam family "Bacterial small subunit ribosomal RNA", at positions 524 to 776 of the family's 1533-position model. The record is from RNAcentral.
UACAGAGGGGGCAAGCGUUAUUCGGAAUUAUUGGGCGUAAAGGGCGCGUAGGCGGUUUUUUAAGUUGGAUGUGCAAUCCCCAGGCUCAACCUGGGAACUGCAUCCGAGACUGGAAGGCUAGAGUACUGGAGAGGGUGGUGGAAUUCCUCGUGUAGCGGUGAAAUGCGUAGAGAUGAGGAGGAACACCAGUGGCGAAGGCGGCUCUCUGGUCCACAACUGACGCUGAGGUGCGAAAGCUAGGGGAUCAAACGGG